RNAcentral lists this ribosomal RNA (253 nucleotides) under uncultured bacterium. Its description in RNAcentral is "partial 16S ribosomal RNA". It matches the Rfam family "Bacterial small subunit ribosomal RNA", at positions 524 to 776 of the family's 1533-position model. The record is from RNAcentral.
UACGAAGGGUGCAAGCGUUACUCGGAAUUACUGGGCGUAAAGCGUGCGUAGGUGGUUCGUUAAGUCUGAUGUGAAAGCCCUGGGCUCAACCUGGGAAUGGCAUUGGAAACUGGCGAUCUAGAGUGCGGUAGAGGGUAGUGGAAUUCCCGGUGUAGCAGUGAAAUGCGUAGAGAUCGGGAGGAACAUCUGUGGCGAAGGCGACUGCCUGGACCAGUACCGACGUUCAGGCACGAAAGCGUGGGGAGCAAACAGG